This 253-nucleotide ribosomal RNA is filed under the name uncultured bacterium. RNAcentral's name for it is "partial 16S ribosomal RNA". It matches the Rfam family "Bacterial small subunit ribosomal RNA", at positions 524 to 776 of the family's 1533-position model. The record is from RNAcentral.
UACGGAGGAGGCAAGCGUUAUCCGGAAUUAUUGGGCGUAAAGCGUCCGCAGGUGGCUAUUCAAGUCUGCGGUCAAAGACUGGGGCUUAACCCUGGAAAGGCCGUGGAAACUGAAGAGCUAGAGUGCAGUAAGGGUAGAGGGAAUUCCCGGUGUAGCGGUGAAAUGCGUAGAGCUCGGGAAGAACAUCGGUGGCGAAAGCGCUCUGCUGGACUGCAACUGACACUCAGGGACGAAAGCUAGGGGAGCGAAUGGG